This 340-nucleotide small nuclear RNA is filed under the name Dasypus novemcinctus (nine-banded armadillo). RNAcentral describes it as "7SK RNA (ENSDNOG00000027810.1)". It matches the Rfam family "7SK RNA". From Rfam's summary of the family: 7SK was discovered as an abundant small nuclear RNA in the mid-70s but a possible function has only recently been suggested. Two independent studies have found that 7SK RNA binds the CDK9/cyclin T complex (known as elongation factor P-TEFb). The record is from RNAcentral. Lineage: Eukaryota; Metazoa; Chordata; Mammalia; Cingulata; Dasypodidae.
GGAUGUGAGGGUGCUCUGGCUGCUACAUCUGUCACCCCACUGAUCGCCAGGAUUGAUUCAGCUGAUCUGGCUGGCUAGGCGGGUGUCCCCAUCCUCCCUCACUGCUCCAUGUGCGUCCCUCCCAUAGCUGCACGCUCAGUCGAAGAGGACAACUUUCCCCGCUAGAGGAGAACCAUUCUUUGGUCAAGGGUAUACGAGUAGCUGCGCUCCCUUGCUAGAACCUCCAAACAAGCUCUCAAAUGUUGUUAACAUGCUAAAAGCAUGAAUGAACCUGGAAGACAUCAUGUUGAUGAAAUAAGCAAGACACAAAAGGAGAAAUAUUGUGUAAUUUCUCUUAUAU